Molecule: unclassified non-coding RNA, 283 nt
Filed under: uncultured Glomeraceae
Lineage: Eukaryota; Fungi; Glomeromycota; Glomeromycetes; Glomerales; Glomeraceae
Description: sequence contains ITS2
Rfam family: 5.8S ribosomal RNA (bases 1-52)
Source: RNAcentral
AACGCAAAUUGCACUUUCUGGUAUUCCGGAAAGUAUGCCUGUUUGAGGGUCAGUUAAAUAAAAAUCGGUGUUGUUGCUGCCUUUCGUGGUGACGCGUCGGAAUUGGGUCGUCUUUACCUUCGGUUAAGUGACUUAAAAUUUUUUAUGAUUUUCGAACGUAUUUAAAUUGCUUACGUACGUUUGAGAUAUCAAAUGUUUAUUAGGUUCGGUCAUCCUCAUGAUUCGCGCCUAUAAUUUUUCAUUAAAUGACCUCAAAUCAGGUAAGAAUACCCGCUGAACUUAA